AAACCAACCGGGAUUGCCUCAGUAACGGCGAGUGAAGCGGCAAAAAGCUCAAAUUUGAAAUCUGGCGUCUUUGGCGUCCGAGUUGUAAUUUGAAGAACGGUUCCUGCGUUUGCGCACUUGUCUAUGUUCCUUGGAACAGGACGUCAGAGAGGGUGAGAAUCCCGUUCGAUGGGUGCGCGUUCGCUUGUGGAGCCAGUUCGACGAGUCGAGUUGUUUGGGAAUGCAGCUCUAAGUGGGUGGUAAAUUCCAUCUAAAGCUAAAUAUUGACGAGAGACCGAUAGCGAACAAGUACAGUGAUGGAAAGAUGAAAAGAACUUUGAAAAGAGAGUGAAAAAGUACGUGAAAUUGUUGAAAGGGAAGGGCAUUUGAUCAGACUUGGCGGGGCAGUACUGGCGUCCACUUGUGGGCGUUUACUGGUGCUCUGCUGGGCCAGCAUCGAUUUGUGCGGCAGGAGAAUUGGGCGGAACGUGGCUGUGCUUCGGGACAGUGUUAUAGCCCG
This 499-nucleotide ribosomal RNA is filed under the name uncultured Candida. RNAcentral describes it as "eukaryotic LSU rRNA". It matches the Rfam family "Eukaryotic large subunit ribosomal RNA", at positions 62 to 565 of the family's 3401-position model. Lineage: Eukaryota; Fungi; Ascomycota; Saccharomycetes; Saccharomycetales. The record is from RNAcentral.